GAAUUGUUUUCACCGACCGCUGGACAGCAUAACGGGGAAAGUGACGUGGAAUAUGGGGGCAAAAGGACAGGACAGAGUAAGAGAUAAUUGAGAAAUGCUCCCCAUUCUACUGUUCCUUUUUACCUUCCUCUUUUUCCUUUUUCUUUCUUUUUUUGCUUUUUUCACCACCUUUUAUCCAUCCAAACAUCCCUUUUUUACCUCCCACCAUGUUUGUACUGUCCUUCCUUGCUUCUAUCACCCUUUUUCCUGUCAUUCUUCCAUACAUUUAAUCUCCUUAGCUAACCUCCUGUUUUCCCCUAAUUUCUGACUUUAAUUCUCUAGCCUUUUCCUCCACUCCCUCUAUUUUAUUUUACUCUAUUACUAUUUUUCCUGCUCUCCUCACCCAUUGUCUCUCUUUACUCCCUCUUUCAUUCUCUCAACCCCUCCCUACCUUCCUCCCUCCCUACGUCCCUCUUCCCGAUUUGUCCUUCAGCUCUGUCAGCACUCACUAUCUCGCUCCAUCUCCUUCUCUGGCAGUCUGAUCAGCUGUCUCCCUUCUAACUUUACAUGGCCUGGUGUGGUGCGGAGGGACGGGCGGCUGCCGGCUGACGCAUUUCACUGCCCAGUCAUCACUUCAAAUCAAAUCCUCUUACACAAACCUGUGUGCUUUUUUUUAUUGCUCACUAUUUUUGCUCUUUUCUACCUGCACUGGGUCCAAUGUUUUUUUUUUUACCCCUCCUCCUUUUUCAUCCCAACCAGCAAGAAAAAGAGAGGCAAGGCAAGUCCCCUGACCCUCUUCUUUUUCUUUCCUCUCUUUUCACUCCUCCUCCUCUUCUCCUCUUCUCCUCUCUGCAACCUUAAACUCUCCAUCGCUGAUUCAGCUCCCAGGGAAGGAAAGACUCCGCCUGCAGCGACUGCUUCACUCCGCACGGGCCAGCAUCCCUAUCUGGAUCACCUUUUGCUACGGUCCUCCUCAUCCACUCUCACUCACCUUUCGGGACCAGACUCAGACUAAAAUGCUUUGCUAAAGCUGGUAAAAUGGAACCAAAUCAACUGUUCAAUGGAUUUGGUCCCCUUCAACCAGCUGUAGCUGUGCAUUGAUCACUCCGAACACACACGCAGCCACAGAGGUGAAGGAAAGGAUAAUUCAGAUGAAAACUGCUUUAACAUGUAGAACUGAAGCUACGUUAGCUUCUCCACAGAAACCAGUGGACUGAGACACAGCAUGCUCCAGUUACUGCAUGGAUUUAUCUCCAUCACACACAUUAUCAGAAAGACAUUGAAGUUAUUUGCAAAAUCUGAAUAAAACAAGUCAGGUAAGAAAUGACAGAUACUGUACCUUUGAGUGAAUUUGUAUUUUUGUUGUGUACCGCUAUAAUUGCAUUAUCCUUUGGAGACUUUUUUAUUGUUCUUUGCAGAUUAUUUGAGGAGUGUGUUUGGUCCAUGAAUUGCUGUUGUGUGUGUGUGUGUGUGUGUGUGUGUGUGUGUGUGUGUGUGUGUGUGUGUGUGUGUGUGUGUAAAAGGGUGGUACAAGUGUAAGAACAGUCACUGUCUAAGAAAAGCAGUAGUGCGUAUUAGUGCACAUGUAUGUAUGUGUGUGACUCCUAAUGCACGUCUGAUCAAUAAAGCCUCGUCCUGAAGUUCACAUAAACUGCUGAAGUGGUCUUUGCUUUGAUGUGUGGUCUUACUGGGGGAGGUGGGGUGGGGGUGGAAUGGAAGGAAGUACACACUAAAAAUCACUUGGUUAAAAUUUUUGGGUCAAUAUAGAAUUGAUGCACUAAUGGGUUGUGUUGGCCCACUGUUUGGACUCUGUUAUACCUGCUUGCAAGUCUAUUUUUUUACAUUAUCUUUUGGGUUAUUUACUCAAUUAAAAUAUGGUCAUUUGGACAGAUUAAGUUCAAGUUUGCUCAAGAGAUGUGCAAGUCCACCACAGUGCAUACACUGCAACAAUUAAUGAGUCCUUAUAUCCACAAAAAACUGCAAAAUGCUCUGUUUGAGAGAACUGUUGGCCAACAAAACUAAACCCAAGGAGGCCUCUUCAGCUUAGUGAUUAUUAGACAUCUCUGGAGUUACAUCCCGUAGUAGAAAUGCUGACUUUUUGGCUCAUUGGCAAGCUAAGCGAUCACUCUCAGAAUGGACUGGGCCUCAUCCACUGGUAAGUAAGUAACACCAGAUCUGGUUUAAAAUGCUGUCAAUACUGGUACUCCAGUGCGGGAAAUCCACCACAGACUCCAAAUUUAAAAACUGUAUACUGCAAGAAUAGAGAGAUUUACCUGGCGGUCAUAGGCUUUAUCAGCAGUGUGUAAAGUCAUUUGGCAGCACUCCAGUCGUCCAGUCAUGACUAGAUUCCACUACACUGCUAUCCUAAGUACACAAGAAUGACAUAGUAGAAUUUUACACUGUAACUUCCUUUGCACAAACUCCUCUCUCAGGUACAAUGCUCUGGAAUUACUUACCUGACAGCUCAAAGCAGAUUCAGGAUUUUAAAAGGUUGUCAAGUCUUAGUUAAAACUUUUCUACAACCGUACCCCUCACCUUCAAAGCGGACGAAGAAAAACUACAUGGCUGCAAAACAUGCGAAUGCAUUUGUUUAGCCCAUGUCCCGUCUGCUAACAUGGAGGCAUAGUUUUAUGACCUCUACUACAGUCAGCCAGCAGGGGGCGAUUGAGAUGUGUUGGCUUUGCUUUUGGAGAACUGUCAUGACGAUGGUUGCUCCUGAACGUUACACACUGAACCUUUAGCUCAUGCAAUAAAUACAUUUUUGUUUUGUUUCAUUUGUC
Long non-coding RNA from Dicentrarchus labrax (European seabass), 2759 nucleotides. Lineage: Eukaryota; Metazoa; Chordata; Actinopteri; Moronidae. The record is from Ensembl.